Molecule: long non-coding RNA, 198 nt
Organism: Alosa sapidissima (American shad)
Lineage: Eukaryota; Metazoa; Chordata; Actinopteri; Clupeiformes; Clupeidae
Exons: 3
Source: RefSeq, a predicted model, not a curated record
CUUGACAUUAAAUUCAGGUGCCGCUUCACUCUGCUACUGAAGGAUCAGGCUGACUGCAACUGCUAUGGAUGGCAGGAAAACACAGUACACGUGAAUUUCUAGAUGAAGAGUGAAUAAAUGCACUUGCUUAACUGAUAACAAGUUGUCAAUGGUUAUUUAUGCAAGCUUGUGUAGCCUAAACAAGACAUACCUAGGCCU